This 2168-nucleotide long non-coding RNA is filed under the name Lupinus angustifolius (narrow-leaved blue lupine). Its description in RNAcentral is "long non-coding RNA (LANG_LNC000208)". The record is from RNAcentral. Lineage: Eukaryota; Viridiplantae; Streptophyta; Magnoliopsida; Fabales; Fabaceae.
UUGAACUGCAUGCAAUGGACUUUUCAUGCAGCUCUUUCACAUCGUAACUGGAUUUACAUUAGUUUUCCGCACACCUUGCAUCAUUGUGUAUUUUGAUUCGGAGCUGAAAUUGAAGUUUUAAAUUGCCUGACCUUCAAGCAACAUCCUUAUUUUUUUUCCAUCAUUGUGUAUUUACUUAAACGUUCGGUUUGGGACGAUUGUUACAAAUUCAUUUGGGAGUCUGAUGGAUAUGGAAGGUGUGGGAUGAAAUCUAUUAAGCAAUUAAUUAUUUUAUUUAACUUUCAAUGUCAAACUUUUAUUAAACUUAAAUAGCGUUUCUUUCUGAGUAACUUGUAGUAAUAGUUUUGAGGCAUCAUUUGAAUCAUAAAUUACGAUUGAAUAUUGUUUUUUUUAUAAACCUAUAUUGGUAAUGUGAAGAUUGUAAUUCUUACAAUGUACAAAUAUUAGCUUUCUUCCAUUGUAAGCAUUUGUAAUUUGCAAUAUGCUUUUCACAGUUGGCCAUAAGGCAUUCAUUUGAAAGUGUAGGUUUUGAACAUUAUUACACUUGGCUUCAUUUGAAGAUUUGUGAGUGGAAGAAAGAGAUAAUGGGAUUUUGAGACACGUGUUGAUUCUGUUGCAAACGUGUGAGUGAUUGAAAGACGUGUUAUCCAAGGCACUAUUCCUCCACAUGGCAUGUUAUUAUUAUGUUACGCAGCUUGGGAUGAUUUUGUUAGUAAAUGCUGUUAGUUUUAUAAUGCAUCAUAUUUGCCAUGUGCUUUCUCAUGACUGGGUAAUCUUUCAACUUUUAAGCCAUCAAAAUCAUCUUACAUUACAUGAUCAUGUAAUCUAUUUGAUGCAGAAAAACAGUGCAGUUGCUGGAGCACUUACAUCAGAUGACUCAUCUCAUCAACAGAUUGUGCAAUGUGCUAUAACUGGAGCACCAAUCUCCACUGCUGCAAAUCUUCUCACUGGGAUAUUCUAAACCCUGUUAUGUUAACAUUUGCUUUUCAGGUUCAUAAUUUUUGUCAUAUCAAUACUGCUACAUGUUCAACUUGAACUUUCCAGGAUUUCAAUUUCAUGUUUUUUUUAGCAUUUACCAAUAUGUGGUGCUUUCAUAUAUCUCCAACUCCAACUUGUUUAUCUCUGCUAGUUCUGCACUGUGAAAUUUGCACUAAAUAUUCAAUUUUAAUUGUCUAUGUUGUGAUAAAUAUUUGGGAACCGUGAAACUUUGCACCUUUGAUUAUUUUCUGUGCUUCUUACACAGUUUAUAAUUUUUUUAUAAACCAAUCAAAAGAAGUAAAAAACAUGUUUAUAUUUUCGGUUUAUAAUAUCACAUUUAUAUAUAUACCAAAAAUAUGCUUUAAGGGCGGCUACGACAUAUAUUAGAAAGUAACAACACCAUUCAUUACCUAGUAAUAGUACAAAUAGAGGAUUUAAGGCAAACCACAAAAACCCCUUUUUGUUUGAGAGAAAAUGUAUGCAAUUGGGUGGAUAAGUGAUGAGAACAAAGUAUAUCCUGAUAUAAAAAAGAUAAAUUAUCUCUUAUGGUUAAUAAAAUUAUGACAUGUGUUCUAUUUAAUUAUUUUUUACAAAAAUAUUUUUAAAACUAAGCAAAAUAGUAUAUAUGUUAUGUUUUUAAUGACCGGAGGGAUAAUUAUUUCCUUAUUAUGAGGAGAUAGUCAUAAGUUAUAUAUACUUUUAGUGUAUUAUAUGUUAUGCUCUUUUUUAUUUCCUUUUGAUGAAAUAUGAAGUUCAUACUCAAACAUCAAACUAAAUAAUGGAAACAGAGAAGUCUAUCUUUUGAAAUCAGAGAAAGCAGUAGAAAAUUUGGGCGGUGGAUGUGCUAGUAGGGAUAUAUAUUUAUAUAUAUGUGCAGUAGUUUUUAAGGCCUAUUUUUCAACCAUGUGUUGGGGAAUCUUCAUCCAUUGAAAUCUGUAUUGAACUGCAUGCAAUGGACUUUUCAUGCAGCUCUUUCACAUCGUAACUGGAUUUACAUUAGUUUUCCGCACACCUUGCAUCAUUGUGUAUUUUGAUUCGGAGCUGAAAUUGAAGUUUUAAAUUGCCUGACCUUCAAGCAACAUCCUUAUUUUUUUUCCAUCAUUGUGUAUUUACUUAAACGUUCGGUUUGGGACGAUUGUUACAAAUUCAUUUGGGAGUCUGAUGGAUAUGGAAGGUGUGGGAUGAAAUCU